RNAcentral lists this long non-coding RNA (631 nucleotides) under Fukomys damarensis (Damara mole-rat). RNAcentral's name for it is "lncRNA (ENSFDAG00000028933.1)". The record is from RNAcentral. Lineage: Eukaryota; Metazoa; Chordata; Mammalia; Rodentia; Bathyergidae.
UGAGGGAGGAAAGAUGUAUUGACAGGAGUUGGAUCAGAGUCAGGCAAAUUUUGAAGGCCCAGGCAUAAAUUUAGUGUCCACAGGGGCCAGCAGACAGUCACAGUGCACCGUGAGGGGCAGGGCCAUCACACAGCUCAGCUGUCAUAAUGUUAGUGAGUUUGCAGCUCAGAAGGGUGCCCAUGGUUGCAGGGGAGGUGUCGAUUGUGGGAACCGUGGAGACUGUAGCAGCCAGGCUUGGCCCUGACAGUUAUCCCCAUCCAUUUGGGUGGAUCUCCUGACUCCUGCACAGGCCUGCAAGGGAGAAGAAGCACUGAGGACAUCGUGAGGACUUUCAUCUCUCACUCAUGUUUGCUGAGGGUAGAAGGCAUCACCGUGCUUCCUGACCAGGUCCCAGAAUUAAGUAAGCAGGACUUUGGGAUUGCAAUCACCAUUCAUCUCCAGACUUUCACAUCUUCCUUUCACAUGGGAAACUCUGGCCUGGAGCUGCCCCCCUGAAACUCCUCCCUGACCCCUGGCCCUGGGUGUUAUUGCAACCCAGGGAGAAAACACCAAGUACUGGGACACAGAUAAAACUGAAAGAAGUUUAUUAUGCACAUGCAGACUCCACUCUCUAAGAGAAAUGAAGCCCCCU